RNAcentral lists this ribosomal RNA (291 nucleotides) under uncultured bacterium. RNAcentral describes it as "partial 16S ribosomal RNA". It matches the Rfam family "Bacterial small subunit ribosomal RNA", at positions 77 to 385 of the family's 1533-position model. The record is from RNAcentral.
CGGCCGCGUCGACAUACUUAGUGGCGGACGGGUGAGUAACGCGUGAGAAUCUGCCUUCAGGACGGAGACAACAGUUGGAAACGACUGCUAAGCCCCGAUGAACCGAAAGGGAAAUAUUUAUAGCCUGAAGAUGAGCUCGCGUCCGAUUAGCUAGUUGGCGGGGUAACAGCCCACCAAGGCAUCGAUGGGUAGGGGUUCUGAGAGGAAGGUCCCCCACAUUGGAACUGAGACACGGUCCAAACUCCUACGGGAGGCAGCAGUGAGGAAUAUUGGUCAAUGGACGCAAGUCUG